This 199-nucleotide ribosomal RNA is filed under the name uncultured bacterium. Its description in RNAcentral is "partial 16S ribosomal RNA". It matches the Rfam family "Bacterial small subunit ribosomal RNA", at positions 328 to 539 of the family's 1533-position model. The record is from RNAcentral.
ACGCUCGACACCUACGAGAGGCAGCAGUCGGGAAUAUUGCGCAAUGGAGGAAACUCUGACGCAGUGACGCCGCGUAUAGGAAGAAGGUCUUCGGAUUGUAAACUAUUGUCGUUAGGGAAGAAAAAGGACAGUACCUAAGGAGGAAGCUCCGGCUAACUACGUGCCAGCAGCCGCGGUAAUCUGAGCGGGCUGGCAAGGC